GGACGAACGCUGGCGGCGUGCUUAACACAUGCAAGUCGAACGGUGACGAGGAGCUUGCUCCUCCGAUCAGUGGCGAACGGGUGAGUAACACGUGAGCAACCUGCCCCUCACUCUGGGAUAACAGUUGGAAACAGCUGCUAAUACCGGAUACGACACAGACAGGCAUCUGUACUGUGUGGAAAGUUCUUCGGUGAGGGAUGGGCUCGCGGCCUAUCAGUUUGUUGGUGGGGUAAUGGCCUACCAAGACGACGACGGGUAGCCGGCCUGAGAGGGCGACCGGCCACACUGGGACUGAGACACGGCCCAGACUCCUACGGGAGGCAGCAGUGGGGAAUAUUGCACAAUGGGCGAAAGCCUGAUGCAGCGACGCCGCGUGAGGGAUGACGGCCUUCGGGUUGUAAACCUCUUUCAGCAGGGAAGAAGCGAAAGUGACAGUACCUGCAGAAGAAGCACCGGCUAACUACGUGCCAGCAGCCGCGGUAAUACGUAGGGUGCGAGCGUUGUCCGGAAUUAUUGGGCGUAAAGAGCUUGUAGGCGGUUUGUCGCGUCUGCUGUGAAAAUCCGGGACUCAAUUCCGGACUUGCAGUGGGUACGGGCAGACUAGAGUACGGUAGGGGAGACUGGAAUUCCUGGUGUAGCGGUGAAAUGCGCAGAUAUCAGGAGGAACACCGAUGGCGAAGGCAGGUCUCUGGGCCGUAACUGACGCUGAGAAGCGAAAGCAUGGGGAGCGAACAGGAUUAGAUACCCUGGUAGUCCAUGCCGUAAACGUUGGGCGCUAGGUGUGGGGCUCAUUCCACGAGCUCUGUGCCGCAGCUAACGCAUUAAGCGCCCCGCCUGGGGAGUACGGCCGCAAGGCUAAAACUUAAAGGAAUUGACGGGUCCCCGCACAAGCAGCGGAGCGUGUGGUUUAAUUCGAUGCUCCGCGAAGAACCUUACCUGGGUUUGACAUAACAGUGGUAGAGAAGUGAAAACGGACCGACCCUUCGGGGAGCUGUUACAGGUGUUGCAUGGCUGUCGUCAGCUCGUGUCGUGAGAUGUUCGGUUAAGUCCGCUAACGAGCGCAACCCGCGCUGUGUGUUACAAGUGUCACACAGUACCGCCGGUAUUAAGUCGGAGGAAGGUGCGGAUGACGUCAAGUCAGCAUGACCUUUAUAUCCAGGGCUACACACACGCUACAAUGGUCAGCACAAUAGGUUGCCAAGCCGCAAGGCGGAGCCAAUCCUCCAAAGCUGGCCUCAGUUCAGAUUGCAGGCUGCAACUCGCCUGCAUGAAGUCGGAGUUGCUAGUAACCGCAGGUCAGAAUACUGCGGUGAAUACGUUCCCGGGGAU
Molecule: ribosomal RNA, 1329 nt
Filed under: uncultured bacterium
Lineage: Bacteria
Description: bacterial SSU rRNA
Rfam family: Bacterial small subunit ribosomal RNA
Source: RNAcentral